RNAcentral lists this ribosomal RNA (515 nucleotides) under uncultured bacterium. RNAcentral describes it as "partial 16S ribosomal RNA". It matches the Rfam family "Bacterial small subunit ribosomal RNA", at positions 28 to 523 of the family's 1533-position model. The record is from RNAcentral.
GAUGAACGCUGGCGGCGUGCCUAAUACAUGCAAGUCGAGCGAAUGGAUUAAGAGCUUGCUCUUAUGAAGUUAGCGGCGGACGGGUGAGUAACACGUGGGUAACCUGCCCAUAAGACUGGGAUAACUCCGGGAAACCGGGGCUAAUACCGGAUACCAUUUUGAACCGCAUGGUUCGAAAUUGAAAGGCGGCUUCGGCUGUCACUUAUGGAUGGACCCGCGUCGCAUUAGCUAGUUGGUGAGGUAACGGCUCACCAAGGCAACGAUGCGUAGCCGACCUGAGAGGAUGAUCGGCCACACUGGGACUGAGACACGGCCCAGACGCCUACGGGAGGCAGCAGUAGGGAAUCUUCCGCAAUGGACGAAAGUCUGACGGAGCAACGCCGCGUGAGUGAUGAAGGCUUUCGGGUCGUAAAACUCUGUUGUUAGGGAAGAACAAGUGCUAGUUGAAUAAGCUGGCACCUUGACGGUACCUAACCAGAAAGCCACGGCUAACUACGUGCCAGCCGCCACAGUAA